RNAcentral lists this microRNA precursor (190 nucleotides) under Oryza brachyantha (malo sina). RNAcentral's name for it is "MIR812 microRNA precursor family". It matches the Rfam family "MIR812 microRNA precursor family". Lineage: Eukaryota; Viridiplantae; Streptophyta; Magnoliopsida; Poales; Poaceae. The record is from Rfam by way of RNAcentral.
AAUAAGGUCAUUUUUCAGUUUUUAGAUUCAAUGUUUUGACUUUUCGUCUUAUUUGAAAUUUUUUUGCAAUUAAUAUUUUUAUUACUAGAUGAUAAAAUAUGAAUAGUACUUUACGCGUGACUAUUUUUUUAAAGUUUUUUACAAAUUUUUUAAAUAAAAAUAAAUGGUUAAACAUUUAACACAGAAAAAC